CUAAGUUUGAUGGCGACCGGCGCACGGGUGAGUAACACGUAUCCAACCUGCCGAUGACUCGGGGAUAGCCUUUCGAAAGAAAGAUUAAUACCCGAUGGCAUAGUUCUUCCGCAUGGUAGAACUAUUAAAGAAUUUCGGUCAUCGAUGGGGAUGCGUUCCAUUAGGUUGUUGGCGGGGUAACGGCCCACCAAGCCUUCGAUGGAUAGGGAUUCUGAGAGGAAGGUCCCCCACAUUGGAACUGAGACACGGUCCAAACUCCUACGGGAGGCAGCAUG
RNAcentral lists this ribosomal RNA (275 nucleotides) under uncultured bacterium. RNAcentral's name for it is "partial 16S ribosomal RNA". It matches the Rfam family "Bacterial small subunit ribosomal RNA", at positions 79 to 353 of the family's 1533-position model. The record is from RNAcentral.